This 250-nucleotide ribosomal RNA is filed under the name uncultured bacterium. Its description in RNAcentral is "partial 16S ribosomal RNA". It matches the Rfam family "Bacterial small subunit ribosomal RNA", at positions 524 to 773 of the family's 1533-position model. The record is from RNAcentral.
GACAGAGGGUGCAAACGUUGUUCGGAAUUACUGGGCGUAAAGCGCGUGUAGGCGGCCUCGCAAGUCGGGUGUGAAAGCCCUGGGCUCAACCCAGGAAGUGCACUCGAUACUGCAAGGCUUGAGUUCCGGAGAGGAAAGCGGAAUUCUCGGUGUAGAGGUGAAAUUCGUAGAUAUCGAGAGGAACACCGGUGGCGAAGGCGGCUUUCUGGACGGCGACUGACGCUGAGACGCGAAAGCGUGGGGAGCAAAC